AUGUAUAUCGACUAUGUCGGAUAAAAUUCUAGAUAGAAGAAUGAUUAUGACAAUUUUCUAUCUAUAAGUCUUGACCAAAUCUCGUGCCAGCAGUCGCGGCAAUACGAGGAAGACAAGUGUUAUUCAUCUUUAUUAGGUUUAAAGGGUACCUAGACGGUUUAUCUAGCCCCAAAAGGGUACGGAUUUUACUAGAGUUUUAUGUGAGAGGUAUAUAUUAGUACUAUUGGUGUAGAGAUGAAAUCCUUUGAUACUAUUAGGAACUGGUAGAGGCGAAAGCAACCCUCUAUGUAUAAACUGACGUUGAGGGACGAAGGCUUGGGUAGCGAAUAGGAUUAGAUACCCUAGUAGUCCAGGCAGAAAAUUAUGAAUGUCAUAGACUAGUAUUUUGAUACAGUACUUUGAUACUAUUCUUUCCAUAGAAAAUACACCCCCUAAUAAUAAAUCCUUUUAUUAGGAUUUGUUAAUGAUGUAUUAAGUAUUAUCAUUAGUCUAUAAAUGAAAGUGUAAGCAUUCCACCUCAAGAGUAAUGUGGCAACGCAGGAACUGAAAUCAUUAGACCGUUUCUGAAACCAGUAGUGAAGUAUGUUAUUUAAUUCGAUAACCCUCGAAAAACCUUACCACAAUUUGAAUAUUAAUUUUUAUUAAUACAAGCGUUGCACGGCUGUCUUCAGUUAAUGUCGUGAGAUUUUGGUUAGAUCCAUUAAAUUAACGUAAACCCUUUCUUUAUUUAUAUUAAAUAAAGUAGUUCACCGCUAUAUUGGAUUUGAUAAAAGGACUAAGACAAGUCAUCA
RNAcentral lists this ribosomal RNA (791 nucleotides) under Rupestriomyces sinensis. RNAcentral describes it as "SSU rRNA". It matches the Rfam family "Bacterial small subunit ribosomal RNA", at positions 423 to 1195 of the family's 1533-position model. The record is from RNAcentral. Lineage: Eukaryota; Fungi; Ascomycota; Dothideomycetes.